Molecule: ribosomal RNA, 542 nt
Filed under: Strigatella luctuosa
Lineage: Eukaryota; Metazoa; Mollusca; Gastropoda; Neogastropoda; Mitridae
Description: partial 12S ribosomal RNA
Rfam family: Bacterial small subunit ribosomal RNA (bases 204-542)
Source: RNAcentral
AACCGAGGGAUUUAGUUGUAUAUCAUGGUAAAAAGACAGUUAGAUAAAAUUUACUAGGUUGAUUAAAUACACUAUUAGGAGGUAGAAUUCGAAUAUAGGUAAAUAUUUUUAGUAAAACCAACGCAUUGAAGCUGUGAUAACUUUGAGGGAAACUAGGAUUAGAUACCCUACUAUUCAUAGAGAUAAAUAAGAAAAUUCUACCAGAGUACUAAGAAUUAAAAAUUUAAAACUCAAAGGGCUUGGCGGUGUUCUAGACUACUUAGGGGAACCUGUCUCAUAAUCGAUAAUCCACGUUAAACCUAACCUUCUUUUGCAUUCAGUUUGUAUACCGUCGUCGCCAGGUAACUUUUAAAAUAUAAGAAGUUAGCUAGGUAAAUAUUUCAAUUAAGACGUCAGAUCAAGGUGCAGCCAACAAAAAGGUGUAGAUGGGUUACAAUUAUGCAAUUUAUAAUUACGGACAAUUAUUUUAAAAAUGAUUGGUAAGGAGGACUUAAAAGUAAAAUGAAUUAUAUAAGUGCUUUGAAUAAAGCUCUGGAACGUGC